UUUGUGUUUUAGGGUUUCUCGCUGCCAUAUAUGAGAUGAGUACUGGGUUCAUCAGUCGAUAUCAAUAGAGAUGAGUACUGGAUAAAAAAGCAAUUUAUUUCUAAUGGGCUCAGGGAACGGGAACCGGCCUGCAGCUAGAAUCACGAUUGAAGACGACCAUUGUGUACUACUUGAUGUAUAUGACAUUGACCAUCUCCUACAAUCAACUCGGCCACAAGAUGGCGAUUCCCAGGCAAGGCAGAGGUGACAGAUUCUUCUAGAAGGCUUGGCAGCAGCCCUUCAGUUAUUCAUUUACUUUAGUGUAUGAGGACAAUGAAUGAGACAUGAUGCUUGUUGUUGGGGAUGUCCCGUGGUGGUGCCAAAGAAUUAAGACGGGAACAAUAUUGGACAAGGCAUCAUUCAGCACAUGUGCUAGUUGUGUCAACUGUUGGAUACACGAAUGUUGGAAAGAUUACACUUUUAAAUCAGUUAACAUGUAACAUGGGCUGAUGUUCUUUCUGAGUUGCUGGUUGUUUGCAACACUUGAUCCAACUACAAGGAGGGUACAUGCUGGUUAUGGGCAUGCUUGACCCAAGUCAUUGCCUCAUUGGGAUGUGCGGAAUUCAUUUGGCGAGUGGUAAGAUGACACAUUGACAACCGAGAUGUAUAAAAAAGUUAUAUAAUCGCCUUUACGUAUCUACUCAUGGUUUUAAAAGGCGCGACAUGUACUCCUAGGUCAAAAUUAGAAUCUGUAGGAGGCUGAUACGUAAAAACAACAACCAAAGGGAUGAAAAAAUAAUGAAAGGUUUACUUGAUAAUAUACAAUCUUAACGGUUUGUGCGAACAAAAUAAAAGAUAUUCCUUGCUUAAUGUGCCCGACAAAACCUCAAGGAUCCAUGGCCAUGAUGGUGAAGCUAAGCAUUCCACUACUAGAAGAUAUCAAUGACGACAUCGAUUUCUUUUUCAAGCCACCUAAAAAAGAAUUCGUGAUCCUUCUUCCUGAUCAUCCUUCAAAUACUCCUCAGAGAAGGCUACCAACGAAAUUGUAGAAGAGACGACUCCAUCCACCAGCGAAUCCAGUAUCAAGGGCAGUGGGAGCGGCAACAAACUUACUAUUGCAACGGAUGAUAACCUAGAAUUUGAUGUUCAUGAGGAAUAUUCAGAUAGUUUUCUGCGCUGGAUAAACAAUGGAGAGACGUUAUGCCACUAAUGCGUCCACAUUAUGAAAUGAGCUGUUUGAAACGGGUCGUGUUAGUCGAGCUAAAAUCAGUCAUUUUCAUGUUCGGGUAGCGUCAAGAAUUGCCGUCCCUUGCGUUAAUUACCUUUUGUACCUAUUUUGAAAAUGGUCUGUUUAAGGUGAUUGUCGAUUAACAUGUCUAAGCUGUGCACAACCGUUCUGGUCAUUACCUGUAUUUUUUUAGAAUUUAAGUUCGCGUCAGGGUUUGGGU
RNAcentral lists this long non-coding RNA (1427 nucleotides) under Helianthus annuus (common sunflower). The record is from RNAcentral. Lineage: Eukaryota; Viridiplantae; Streptophyta; Magnoliopsida; Asterales; Asteraceae.